This 524-nucleotide ribosomal RNA is filed under the name Archisepsis armata. RNAcentral's name for it is "partial 16S ribosomal RNA". It matches the Rfam family "Bacterial large subunit ribosomal RNA", at positions 1891 to 2606 of the family's 2925-position model. Lineage: Eukaryota; Metazoa; Arthropoda; Insecta; Diptera; Sepsidae. The record is from RNAcentral.
AAACAUGUCUUUUUGAGGUAAUUAAAAAGUCUAACCUGCCCACUGAAUUUUUAAAUGGCCGCAGUAUCCUAACUGUGCAAAGGUAGCAUAAUCAUUAGUCUUUUAAUUGAAGGCUGGAAUGAAUGGUUGGACGAGGUAUUAACUGUUUCAGAUAAAUUUUUUAUAGAAUUUUAUUUUUUAGUCAAAAAGCUAAAAUUUAAUUAAAAGACGAGAAGACCCUAUAAAUCUUUACUUAAAAUUUUAUUUUAAUUAUUAAGAUAGAUUUUAUUAUAAUAAUAUUUUAAGUUUUAUUGGGGUGAUAUUAAAAUUUAAUAAACUUUUAAUUUUUAGAAACAUAAAUUAAUGAAUAAUUGAUCCAUUAAUAAUGAUUAAAAAUUUAAGUUACUUUAGGGAUAACAGCGUAAUUUUUUUGGAGAGUUCAUAUCGAUAAAAAAGAUUGCGACCUCGAUGUUGGAUUAAGAAAAAUUUUAGGUGUAGCCGCUUAAAUAUUAAGUCUGUUCGACUUUUAAUUUCUUACAUGAUCU